GACGAACGCUGGCGGCGUGCUUAACACAUGCAAGUCGAACGGAAAGGCCCUGCUUGCAGGGUACUCGAGUGGCGAACGGGUGAGUAACACGUGGGUGAUCUGCCCUGCACUUCGGGAUAAGCCUGGGAAACUGGGUCUAAUACCGGAUAGGAGCCAUUUUUAGCGUGAUGGUUGGAAAGUUUUUUCGGUGUAGGAUGAGCUCGCGGCCUAUCAGCUUGUUGGUGGGGUAAUGGCCUACCAAGGCGGCGACGGGUAGCCGGCCUGAGAGGGUGGACGGCGACAUUGGGACUGAGAUACGGCCCAGACUCCUACGGGAGGCAGCAGGGGGGAAUAUUGCACAAUGGGCGCAAGCCUGAUGCAGCGACGCCGCGUGGGGGAUGACGGCCUUCGGGUUGUAAACACCUUGCGCUAGGGACGAAGCUUUUUGUGACGGUACCUAGAUAAGAAGCACCGGCUAACUACGUG
This 465-nucleotide ribosomal RNA is filed under the name uncultured bacterium. RNAcentral describes it as "partial 16S ribosomal RNA". It matches the Rfam family "Bacterial small subunit ribosomal RNA", at positions 28 to 507 of the family's 1533-position model. The record is from RNAcentral.